Cavia porcellus (domestic guinea pig) is the source of this 1326-nucleotide long non-coding RNA. RefSeq lists it as uncharacterized. Lineage: Eukaryota; Metazoa; Chordata; Mammalia; Rodentia; Caviidae. The record is from RefSeq and is a predicted model, not a curated record. The transcript has 3 exons.
UGAAAGGUCUUCAUUUUUAAGACUUGAUGAUUAGGUUGGUCUUAUCUAGCUAACUGUCCCUUCUCAGAAUCUUUAUUCUGAGCUGCAAGAUUCUUCUCCCACGUAAAGUAACAUAUCCACAGGUUCUGUAUUUGGUAGAUGCUUCCUGCAUUCCAGCCACUGUCUGGACAACAGAUGUUUUGCAGUAAGAAAAGAGGAAGUGCUCCUUGCCUUGAGAGAAGGUCACCAGCUAUGGCCGAUGUGACAGAACUGGAUAUUGUGUCUUCAUAAAAUCCUCAGUUUCACUAAAUGUAAAUUAUUGUCCUGUCACCAUAAGCAUCUGGUUAUCGCAGCUGUUUUGUAGAUAUUCCAGGGAAUUAAGAAAUUUGAUUAAUUUUUUUCUCUGGUUUCUGUGAACAAUAUUGAAUUCUGUGUUUUAACACUUCCUUGUGGGAAAACAAAAAAUUCUCUGUGACUGACGGUAUGGACUUAUCCAUUUACAUAAAUCAAUCCUGGGUGGAGAUACCAGAGACGCUGGGCAAUUACUUUCUAUAGAUGCUGCAGUCAUUCGGUAACCUAAAUUAGUCUGAUUGAGGUCUCUUUGCUGUUGUGUCUAGGAAUUUGCAGAUAAAGUUUAAAGAGCAUUUUAAGUCCAAGAAAUUUUAGGUGAUUUUUGCAUAUGCCACCCUAAGUAGUUCACUUUUGAAGAUUUGAUAACUCUGAGUUUAAAGGAAAUUCACAUCUUUUUUAUACCAUGUUAUUUGUCUCAUCUCUUGGAGAAAACUGAAGGCCAAAGUUUUAUAUUAUUCAGUUUAUUUUAUUUCAUUAUAUCUCUUUCUUCUUAUCUUUCCUGCUUUUUUUCCUGACAGUUCUUCCACAUGAGAAAUACAGAUUAGUAGGAAACUGUUUUAGAACAGUGGAGCUUCAUGAAAUUAAGUCAAUGACAAAUCUCAAAAGUAAAAGGAAAACCUGGACUCGUGAUGUGCAAUUCAUUGGUUAUAAAUAAUUCCAAGGAUUGAACUCAGUUAUUCAAGAAAUAGUUAAGGGUUUCCCGGCCACCGCCUCUCCUGCCACCUGUGGAGCCAGAAACAGAGUCACUGACACUGUGGUGGCCGACAUCAAAGCUUUGAUUAGUGUGUCCUUUGGAGGAGCAAUCGGCCUGACGUUCCUGAUGCUUGGAUGUGUCUUUCUGAUGUUUUGUUUUGUUUUGUUUUGUUUUGUAGUUCUGUAUUGCGUGUACCCUUACGCCGCUUUGGUUUGUUUUGUGUUUUUCUCUUUUUCCUCUUAAAUAAAAAAAAAAAAAAAAAAAAAAAAGAGACUUUCCUAGAAAUAAAAAAAAAGAACCAG